RNAcentral lists this ribosomal RNA (500 nucleotides) under uncultured bacterium. Its description in RNAcentral is "partial 16S ribosomal RNA". It matches the Rfam family "Bacterial small subunit ribosomal RNA", at positions 30 to 523 of the family's 1533-position model. The record is from RNAcentral.
AUUGAACGCUGGCGGCAUGCUUUACACAUGCAAGUCGAACGGCAGCACGGACUUCGGUCUGGUGGCGAGUGGCGAACGGGUGAGUAAUACAUCGGAACGUACCCAGUAAUGGGGGAUAACUAUCCGAAAGGAUAGCUAAUACCGCAUACGCCCUACGGGGGAAAGAGGGGGAUCGCAAGACCUCUUGUUAUUGGAGCGGCCGAUGGCUGAUUAGCUAGUUGGUGGGGUAAGGGCCUACCAAGGCAACGAUCAGUAGCGGGUCUUAGAGGACGAUCCGCCACACUGGAACUGAGACACGGUCCAGACUCCUACGGGAGGCAGCAGUGGGGAAUCUUGGACAAUGGGCGCAAGCCUGAUCCAGCAAUGCCGCGUGCGUGAAGAAGGCCUUCGGGUUGUAAAGCGCUUUUGUCAGGGAGCAAAUCCUUGUGGCUAAUACCCACCGGGGAUGAGAGUACCUGAAGAAUAAGGACCGGCUAACUACGUGCCAGCCGCCGCCGUAA